GACGUAGGAUGCAAGCGUUGUCCGGAUUUAUUGGGCGUAAAGAGUUCGUAGGUGGUUUGCUAAGUCUGAUGUUAAAUACUGGAGCUCAACUUCGGGACUGCAUUGGAUACUGGCAGACUUGAGUGUGGUAGAGGCAAUCGGAAUUCCAGGUGUAGCGGUGAAAUGCGUAGAUAUCUGGAGGAACACCUGUGGCGAAGGCGGGCGACUGGUCAGAGACUGACGCUGAGAAACGAAAGCGUGGGGAGCAAACAGG
RNAcentral lists this ribosomal RNA (253 nucleotides) under uncultured bacterium. RNAcentral describes it as "partial 16S ribosomal RNA". It matches the Rfam family "Bacterial small subunit ribosomal RNA", at positions 524 to 776 of the family's 1533-position model. The record is from RNAcentral.